RNAcentral lists this ribosomal RNA (189 nucleotides) under uncultured bacterium. Its description in RNAcentral is "partial 16S ribosomal RNA". It matches the Rfam family "Bacterial small subunit ribosomal RNA", at positions 338 to 524 of the family's 1533-position model. The record is from RNAcentral.
CCUACGGGAGGCAGCAGUGAGGAAUAUUGGUCAAUGGGCGCGAGUCUGAACCAGCCAAGUAGCGUGAAGGAUGACUGCCCUAUGGGUUGUAAACUUCUUUUAUAUGGGAAUAAAGUGCAGUAUGUAUACUGCUUUGCAUGUACCUUAUGAAUAAGGAUCGGCUAACUCCGUGCCAGCAGCCGCGGUAAU